This 18786-nucleotide long non-coding RNA is filed under the name Physcomitrium patens. RNAcentral's name for it is "long non-coding RNA (PPAT_LNC009357)". Lineage: Eukaryota; Viridiplantae; Streptophyta; Bryopsida; Funariales; Funariaceae. The record is from RNAcentral.
UUAGGGUUAAUGUGGGCCCUUGAUCUUGAUUAGGGUUGGUGGAUUCGGAUGGUGGAGAUGUGGCCGCCACCCUUUGGUCUCUUCCUACUUGGAUAAGAGGGUGGGGGUGGCCACACUCGCUCUCUCUCUCUUUUUUUUUUUUUUGGGGGCGAAGCCAUGCCAAAUUGCAUCCCCACGUACCCUUGUUUCUAUAGAGCUGCAAUUGCGCAGCUGUAGUGUAUUAGUUAUCUGGAAAUAGAACGUCAAACUUUACCAAUAGUUAGAUCUUGUCGUUAGCUUCCUCGGGACAGUAGGCACGCUUUGUUUGGAGAGAAAACAAGAAAGUUGUGGUGGUUUUAGUGACAAGGAGGUCAGCUGCCGGCCAGAUCUGGAGGUCCGACUUUGGAAGGCAAGUGUUGGCGGACAGUAUUGAAUUUGGAGCUGAAACUUUUGUGGGGGAUGGUUCUUGUUGUCAGCUUUGCAAGGACUAUUUUCACGCUUAGAUUGAGUAAAGGCCAAGGAAGUUAUGGUGGUUGGAGUGAAGAGGAGUCGGCCGUGGUGAAGAUGUAGCACUCCGCCAACUCAAGCUACUUUGGAAGGUCAUAUCUUGGAAUUCACUCAAGAUUUUCAAGAAAAAAUUGUUGGAGGUGAUGCGGCUUCAAUUCUAGUUUCUGGAAUGCUAAAGCAUAUGCGUUGCACAACUGGAAUGGAGCAAGGGCAAGGGUUUUUGUGGCCAGGGGUGCUCUGACUAAGCCGAGAAAGUUAGGCAACUUUGAGGCAAGAUUUCUCUUAGCUUAAUUGUUGUUUUGCAUUGAAUUUUGUUGGAGGACAAGCGCUUGUAAGUCUACUUUCUAAAAUAGCAAAGCUUGUUAUAAACAAGUUAGUGAUGCAACCAUUGUAGUGGAAUUCGUGCAAGGGGGUCGCUACCAUGACUUGGAAGGUGGCGACUUCUAAUUUUCUUUAAUUUUUAGGAUGAAUCUUGGAUGAAUUAGGUCAAUUGCACGAAUUGUCAGUUGGAUGAUAAGUUGACUUAUGGUUGGAUGAAUGAAUCUUUAGAUGAAAAUUGGAUGAACAAACUUUGAAUGAAUGAAUGUUAUAGGAUGAAUGAGAUUUAAGGAAUAGAUGAUUGAUGAAGGGAAAUUUAGGAUGAAUGAACUUAGGGUUUAUGGAUGAACUUAGGGUUUAUGGAUGAACUUAGGGUUUCUAGAUGAACUUAGGGUUUCUAGAUGAACUUAGGGUUUCUAGAUGAACUUAGGGUUUUUGGAUGAACUUAGGGUUUAUGGAUGAACUUAGGGUUUAUGGAUGAACUUAGGAUUUAUGGAUGAACUUAGGAUUUAUGAAUGAACUUAGGGUUUAUAAAAAUUGCGUGUGAGUGAAGUUAAUCCACUUGACUACUAAACGCAAUUAUGGGUGGAGGAAUUUAGCUCACAUAAAUGGUGCGUUUGCCGAGAGCCGAUCUUAGAGACGUUGUCUAACAAUUUUUUUUUUUUUUUUUUUUUUUUUUUUGAGUUGAGAUGAUUGAUUACAUGGAGGAAGGAGAUAAUAGGAGCAAGAUGAUGGAGUCGUGAUUGGAAGGAGCACAGCAGAAGGUAUGUGGGUCCUGGGGAUAUCUAUGGUAGUUUGUGCUAGAAACCUUAGCAUGUGAUCGAGAGGCCGGUGGUAUACUAAUUGUGCAGGAAGCUGGAAUUGCAUGAGGUAAGCCAUCAUACAUUGAAUGAUCUAUGUUCACUUAGGAUUGUAAUUCGUCGUUGUCGUUGCCUUGUUAGUGGGUAAUGCCUCGGCAGUGAGCUGAUUUGAGAACGAGGGGGGUUCCGACCGCGAAGGCAGAAUCACAGUGUCUCAUUUACUGACCGGGUAAGCCCCACAACAUAGGUUGUACCGUAUGCCAAGAUUGGACUAGCGGGCUGAUUUACCUUGGUGAAUUCCAUGUCAUCGCUCGUAAAUACUAUCUUGGUGGUUUGCGUUCCCUACCCACCUGAGGGUAGGCUAGAUUAUUAAUUAUCAAUUUAAAAAUUUCAAAAAAAAAAAAAAAAAAAAAAAUGGGUUGGUAGGUAAUGAGAGAAGGUCAGUGAGGACGUUUAGAUGUUUUCGAAAACUGGAUCUCAAAAACCUACUUUGAACCAAGGACUUGAACGUAUUGGAAGACGUUGGGGUAAGGUCGUGGAUAACAAGGAAGCAGCCCCUUCUCGGAAUACACUCAUUAAUAGUAGAAGCAAUGAAGAAUUUCUUGGAGGAGAGAUUAGAAGGAAUUUAGAAAAGCCUUUAGGAGAUGUCGGGGGCAGCGAGCUAUUGGAGGAGUUGGAAGUGGAGGAGUUAGAGAUAGAACACGUAGACCCUGAAGACAGAGUGUUUGGAGACGUGAAUCUUAGGGAAAUAGGAGAACAGGAUAGGACCUUGGACUUUGUGCCUGCGGUCGAAGGAUUUGUUCACGAGAUGGUGAUGGAGCGGCUUCCAGCUUUGGAUUCCUUAGUUAGGCCACGAGGUUUGCCCGUGGCUAUGCCAGCAGGGCUAUUAGCGGCCACAGUUCCAAGGAAUCUCCCCAAGUUCUAUGGUACCAAGGACGAGGAUCCAACCCUACACAUGGAAAGUUACAUAGAGAUUUUGACAACAUCCCUCAUUGGAAACGAGGGGUAUUACUUGGUUUGGUUCCCCGGAACCUUACACGGUGUCAUAUUAUGUACUUUCCUGCUCGAGAACGCGCCGGGCGUCUGGCUGUAGAAGGUAGUAUGGAGAUUCACCUAUAGUCAAGCAGUCUAUCAGUUUUUGACUGCUGGAAUAUAAACGACUGCAACAAUGUACCGUAAAUCUAUACGGAUGCUCUUCGACUACUUGUCGAAGUCUUUUUUUUUUUUUUUUGCCCCAGCCGGUAGGUCUCUAAACGUUACAGAGAACCCCGAACAACCCAAACUGUUAAUCUUCAAUAUCCCUUUGUACUUACGAUCUUGUAUCCACUGACUGUCUCGUUAGAUUAACCCAAUAAAUUUCAUUCACUCCGCAUACUCAAUCCUAUAGACACCCUUUUAAUCCUUCAAUCACAGACGUAACUCGAUUUUUCAAAACAGUCAAGAGUAUUCAAACCCACUUCAUUUAAAAAUCCCGAUUCACCAUUACAACACUGACUUUAGCAGCGAUUGCCUCAGUCUUCCCAAAACUCUACGAAGAAGAAAAAUCCAAAUUCUAUGUCUUUCCUUCCCCGACCCGAAGCAUGAAGCUCCUCUCUCUAAUUCCCUUGAUCUUCAAAAAACCUCCAAUGAAACCCGAACUGGUAACCUUGCAAAAGCUUGAAAACUCGCUCCCCCCCCCCGAUUCCCCAAAAAAAAACCCCCCCUUUCAAAACUAUAUCCCCCCUAACCUUAUCCUCUGAAUUUCUUCAAUCUUCCAUCUUAGAUCCGGAAUUGGCUCCCACCUCAAGCUUGGAUCCGAAAUUGGCUCUCGUCGUCAGAGCUUUCUCCUCCGUUUUUACCUUUAAGAAAUCCAUUUACCGAAAACAACGUUCCCUGAAACGGCACAGAGAACAGGACAGCCUGAAACAGAAUCGAACCCCGUAAUCGGGACCACAUUGAGUCGCCCGACCAAUUCAGGUCCUAUAUUGGAAAAGAUGCCCGUAAUAACUUGGAUGUUCCCGUAAUUGGGUCAAAUUGGUCCUCGCGUCAGAUUGCCUAAGACCCGUAGUAAGACCUGGAUUUCUCGAAAUUAGACUGCAUUGCAUUGAGCGGCCAAUUCAGGUCUCAUAUUGGAUAAGAGGACCCGGAUUGGAUUAUCGAAAUUGGAUCCAAUUCGCUCCUCGAACCCGUCGUGUGAAUUGGUCCUUCUCUUCUUGCUGACUCCCGUUAUUGGAAUCGAAUGGAGCAUUUUAGUAUGCCCCGGCUGACUGUAACGGAGUGACUGAACCUGACCACUCAGUAUUUGUACUGGAGUUGGUCGAUGCUCCCAAUAUUCGAGGUAACUGAAUAUUAAGAAAAUUCCCCUUUCUUUUUAUUUUCACUGUAUACUCGUGUUACGAUACGACAUCCACCCCCUCUGAACUUGUGCAUCCUCCGGUAUGCACCAAUUUACCCAAUUGCUGUUUGAUUCAGAAUAUAUCCCCUACGUCUUUGUUCAGUUCGUCUUCGUCACCUUCAUUAUCCAAAUCACUUUCAUCUUCUUGCUGCGGAAUCUCUGUACCUUCAUUAAGGUCUUCCAUAUUCAUCUCUGCGUGUCUUCGUUUAAAUAUUUUUACUCGCUUCCCUGCAAUUGGUAUUUUCAAUUUUGUACCAUCUAACUCCCGUAAUGAGUAAGUCGCAUUAUCAGGAACAGUUGUUACAACAUAUGGUCCAAACCAACGUUUUGAAAAUUUCCGCAAAGUACUAUGUUGAUUAUCCAGACUAUUGUCAUAAACAAGUACCCAGUCACCUUCCUCGAUUGCUUUUGGUCUCAAUCGAUGUUGCUUAUCAAAUCGCGCCUUGUUUUGUAACCUUGCUCUUUUUAACCUUUCCAAUGUUAUUUGGACAUCUUCCGUUCUUUGCUCCAAUUGUCGAAUCCUAAUAGCCAGAAGUUCUUCUCUUGUCAAUCCAUCUUCCCAUGGUAGCAUACUCCAAGUAAGUACCUUUUCUUCAAUCGACAUAAUUGGUUUUUGACCUGUCAUAAGUUCUACUGGCAUAUAUCCUGUCACCGAACUAUGUGUUGUUUGAUCAGCCCAUAAUGCAAAUGACAAAAGCCGUGGCCACUCUUUAACUUUCCCAUUACAAGCUUUAACCAAUACUUUCACAAUCGGCGGGUGACCGCGUUCGCUUUUCGUAUUCCCUUCCGGAUUAUAAGCAGUAGUCAGUGAUAGUUUAACUCCGCAUUUUUCAAAGAACUUACGAGCUUCUUGUGCAUUUAAUUCUCCACGAUCUGCAGUGAUUUUUCCUACGCACCCGUAACGGCAAAUGACAUCUUCAAGCAAAAACCUACAAAUCCCCUCUGUAGAUUUUGUCCUCAAUGCAAUUUCUUCUACUUGAUUUGAUAAAUCUUCACGAGCUAAAACCAAAUAUCUCAUCUGCCAUAAACCAACCGGCAUAAUAACCAAAUCAACAACCUAUUUAAAAUGAAUAGCCAGAGGAUACGUAGGAUGAAGACCAUCUCGAUGUCGGAUAUUAGAAUACGAUUGACAGAUUUCACAUGACUCUACAAAUGAGAGCACAUCUCGAUACAUAUUUUUCCACCAAUAUCGUUCCUUGAGUUUAGCAAAAGUAGCCCAGAUUCCUCUAUGCCCUGCCCAUAAACUAUCAUGAAACUCCUUUAAUAAUUUUAGUUUUUCUUCCCUUUUGCCUAUCACUCGUUGUGGCAUCCCAAUUCCUUUCUUCGGUCUCUUCCAUAAGAAUCCAUCUCGAAGUAAAAAUCCAUAUGCUUUUUUUCUUAUUUGUUUGAAUUUUUCUGUAGACCAAUUCCCGUGCUUAGACAAGGUAUUCAAAUAAUGACCAAUAUCCAAUAAUUCUCCUUCAUAAGAUUCUUCAAGAAAUAGCUUGUCUUCUCUGUUGAGAUUUGAUAUUGAAUAGAAUUUCAAUCCGACAUCAUCAAUGUCUUCAACCAUUUCGUCCUCCCUCUCGUAUCUUGCUCGAGAUAGCAUGUCUGCUACUAAAUUGUCCUUUCCAGUGAUAUGCUUAAAUUCUGGAUUUAGUGACUUAAUAUAAGCAAUCCAUCUCAACAUUGCAAUAUCUGGCGUUGAACAGUUAAUAAUCAUUCCAAGCAAUGGCAAGCAAUUUGUUUCAAUUACUACUACUGCCCCAAUCAAAUAGUCCUUUUCAGCUUUCAUAGCCGAAACGACUCCCCAAAGUUCUCUUUUGACUUGCGAAUAUGCACGCUGACGAAUACUUAAAACUUUAGCCCCAAAUCGAACUGCAAAUCUAUUUCUAUUUGAAUCAUCUUGACCCACAGCCCAUCCAACGGCAAUUGGACUAGCGUCUACAGUAAGAAUCACUGAUCUAUUGCACUUAUAAUCAACCUUCCUCAAUAUUGGAGGUGACAUCAAUAAUUUCUUCAAGCUUUGCAUUGCCUGAAUAUGCCUUUCUUUCCAUUCAAAUCGGUAACCCUUGCGUAACAGUUCAUAUAAUGGAUCCGCUAUGUGAGCAAAAUGAGGGAUCCAGAUUCGAUAAAAUACACAUGCACCCAAAAACCUGCGAACCUCUGUUAAAGAACCACAAUCCUCUUUCAUCCUUCCAAUUGCAUCAACUUUAGUCGGAUCUGGUUUUCUUCCGUAAGAUCCGCAUAAAUGUCCAACAAUUACAACCUCUCGUACUCCAAAUACGGACUUCAUACCCGAUAAUGUAAGAUGAACUUCUCCAAGCCAAGUUAAAAUCUUUUCACAAUCUUGUAUAUGAUCAACAACAUAUCUGCGACACUCCCUCGUAUCUAAAGUUUCAUCCUUGUCUCCUUCUCUGCACCCUUUUAUAGGAACAUCAUCCAGAAAAGGCAUAGUCUUUUCUGGAAUAAAAUCUCUCAAUACCUUAUUCAUCCCAUUCAUCAUAUGCGUAACUGAGUUGGUCGCCCCUUGAAGAAGAGUGCACAUUCUAACCAAUCCAAGCGGUGUCCUCAUCGUUGUCAUAUCUCUACUUCCUUCGGCAAGUUGAAAUUGAUCAUAACCUGAAUACAAAUCACCCAUUGAAUAGAUCGCCCUUCCAGCAAACGCCUCAGCAAAUUCAUCCACAAUAGGUCCAAUUCCUGCAUUCCUGACAGUUACAGCAUUCACCGGCUGCAUAUCUUGAAUAAACCGUAGUGACCCAUUCUUCUUAGGUACCGUAAACCAUCGACUAGAAUACGGCGCAAAUGAAGGUUCUAAUAUUUUCAUCUUUAUCUUUUCUUUCAAUAGUUCCACCAAUUUAGGUAAAUGUGCCCUCGGUACUGGAAUCGGUCUUAGAUUCCAAGGUACAUGCGGUACAGUGAAGAUAACCAUAGGUGUUAUAAUAUUUGGAUCCACACACCUAAUUUCAUGAGAUUCGAAGGCAAACGAUCUACCUUGUUUAGCCAACAUCUUUUUGAAGCAAGUAAUUUCCUCCGACAAUAAAGAACCAUCAGAACCAAUCUUCAAUUCUUCAAAAGUCUCUUCAGUAAACUGAUGUCCAAUACUCAUUGGAUCUCUUAAACUUGCUUCUUUUGAUGCUUCUCCCAUUUGUUCUUUAGAAUCCUCUGGUAAUGGUCCGGCAACAGGCUUUACCUUCUUAUCUGCCGUUUUAUAUCUCAUCUCUACUGUGACUUCUGGUGCUUGAAAAGAUUCAAGCAUGGUAUAAACCUCUUUCGAAUGAAUCUCAACAAUCUUACCAUUAUCCCCUAAUCCAAUAGAUGUAAUCAAUUCCAAUGAAUCUUCCAGCCCAUUUUCUUCAUAAACACCCAAAAUCCUCUCAUCAUCUUGCAAUGUACCUAUCUUGCGUAACUAUCCUUCAAUAUCAUAUAAUCUUUUUCUUUCUUUUCUUUUAAAAUCAUCAACUUUCUUAUACAUAAUAUUUCCAUUCUCCAAUAUACCAAUAAAACUCGCAUCAAAGGCACCUUCAUCUCGUGAGAGUACCUCCUCUUUUGUACCUCCAUAAUCUUGCUUUACAGUGGUACCUCCCCAAAAUCCUUAAAUCCUUCAACAAUCUUUGGCAAUGGUUUCUCCCUCAACCUAUCUCGAUUCCGUUCAUGGUUAGGAGGUACUGUUAGAAAUUGUACAGCUUUCCUCCCAUCUUCGCUCCGUACCCUUGCAUAAGCAGAACCAUCGUCAAGUACCUUUGUUUCCAUCCGUGUUGCCGUAAUAUAAGGUUGUCCUAAAAUCAACGGAUAAGACGUUGUAUCUUGAACGAAGAAAUGUUGCUCCGUCGCAACAUCUCCAAUCCGAAUUUUGACAUCUGGACAAGCUCCAUAUAAUUCGCCUCGUGUGUUAUUAGCUGCUCGUAUUGCCUAUCCAUGUUCUAUAUCAAUUGGCCAUUUUUGCUUCUUAUAAAGAUUUUUAGACAUGAGAUUUAUUUCAGAACCAUGGUCCACCAAAGCAACUAUUGGUUCUUCUAUAUCUCCUACCUUCACCAAUACCUGAGUAGUUGCCCUUGCCCAAUGCUUUCGAGUAUAAUGGCUCAAAGUUUCCAUUUCCUUGUCACUGAAAUCUUCGAAACGUACUCGCUGAUUAUACCCAUUCUUUUCAUUUGUUGGUUGCUUGUAACCAAUAUCAACCUCUUCUUCAUCUCUACAUAUUCUUGCAUCAAUAGCAUGACUCAUUCCAGUUUUGCUCAUUAAUUGCCUCUUUCGCUUAAUGCUGUCAAUGAUAACAUCAUGAAACUCCUUCUUUGCAAUUCCCAAGACUUCUUUCAAUGUGAAUUCCACCUUAGCGUUUAAUAUACGUUCUUCCAACACCCCUUUCAAAUUUGUUGCCGCUUCAAUGUCAGAAAGUAGCUUAUAAGCAAUUGAUUUGCCCUUAUCUUUUGUCUCCGUUGUUUUUUCUCCCAAUGAUGCUGAGGUAUCUUUUACGGGCAAUUCUUUUGAAGCUGCCUCCCGAGCCUUGUCUCCUCGAGUUUGCCUCUUAAAAGAAUUUCCUUCUCUAGUAUCAUCAAAAUUUCCUCGUCUUUUUUCUUCCAUCAAAGCUUCAUGUUGGCUCUUAGCAAUAUAUGCAUGAACUGAAAGAGACUAAACAGGAUCCUCCCAACCUGUUCUUCCUCGUAUUGUAGCUGCAGUUCUCAAUAACGCCUCUCGAGGUAAUUUCCCUUCUUGCAUUGUAGAAAUGGCAGAAGCCCAAAACUCACUAGUUUCCGUACUUCCACCAAUUUCAUCAUCUACUCUAGCACCAUAACUUGCACUUUCUCGUACUACUGUUUCAUGCUCUUUUAAGUAAUCUUGAACCAAUGCUCUCAUUCCUCCCUUGCCAAAAUUGGUUUGAAGAAGAUCCUCCCUAUCUUUCAAUGCUAUCUUCCCAUCUUUCCAACAAAUAAUUCCCUGCCGUAUCAUAUUAUUAAAUUCAUUGCAAUCUUUUCUAGUGUGUGAAGCAUCAUCACACCAAAUGCAUCUUUGUACAUAUCCUUGUUUUGAAACAUUCUUCGAAUUGUUUAUAGAAGUAUUCUCUUCAAGUCUUGCCAAUUUGAUUUGAAGAUCUCGCAUUCCUCGUAUAAUUUCUUCCAUAUCCAUAUCUGCUUUCUUUGACAAGGAUGUUGAAGGUUGAACUGUAGGCAUUGUCGGUGGUGUUGUAUGUACUGGAGCUUUGGGUGCUUGUACUGUUUUCGGAAUAUUGCUCCUAUCCUUCCUCCUUUCUUUUUUUGUAAGCAACCCCACCGCAUCUUCAACGUUCUUCCACUUCGUUGUCAAUCCUUCAUCUUCUUCUUUGUCUUCAAGAAGGGGUUCUAAUUUCUCUUGCAAUUCUCCAUCAGCAGCUUGAAGAAAUAGAUCAACUUUGUUCGGCUUCAAUGUCAAUUUUUCUACCUUCGAUAAUUGAGAGUACUGCCUUUCAAAUUCCCUUAGUAGCUCUGUUGCUUGCAAAUUCUUAUUGGGCCGUUCAAUCCAUCCCAAAAAUAGCUUCUUAGUAACGCGAUCAGCAUCUUCCAAGAAAUAUUCGUCUUUCAAUGCAUGUGAAAAAUCCUCCCAUGAAUUCCCACAACGAUCCGUAAUCGAUGUAAUGUGGUCCCUUAUCUCUGAUAUCGUGGCAAGUCCAAAUAGUGCAACCAUUUUCUUCUCAGAAACCCGAUUUAAUUCCAUUUCACGAACAUAACAUCUUAAAUACCUUGAAAUAUUCCUCCCAUCAAAUUGAUCAAUUUUAUUGACCAUUGCUUGCAAUGCUUUGGUUGCCAAAGCUUCCUUUCGAUCAUUGCUUUGCUGUUGCUGCAUUGACAAUGAGAAGGCUUGAAACAAACUAGCAAUAGACGGAUCCAUGUGCAUACCUUGUCCUUUAGAAGACUCUCCACCAGAAACUUCUCCCAAAAAUCCUUCAAAAUUUUUAUUUUCGUUUUCCGUAAAAAUAAAGAUAAAAUCAACUGAAAUCCAAUACCUUCCACCUCAAGCUUUCACGUCGGGUUCACCACUUAUGUCGUAUUACGUGCUUUCCUGCUCGAGAACGCGCCGAGCGUUUGGCUGUAGAAGGUAGUAUGGAGAUUCGCCGAUAGUCAAGCAGUCUAUCAGUUUUUGACUGCUGGAAUAUAAACGACUGCAACAAUGUACCGUAAAUCUAUACGGAUGCUCUUCGACUGCUUGUCGAAGUCUUUUUUUUUUUUUUUUUUGCCCCAGCCGGUAGGUCUCUAGACGUUACAGAGAACCCCGAACAACCCAAACUGUUAAUCUUCAAUACCCCUUUGUACUUACGAUCUUGUAUCCACUGAGUGUCUCGUUAGAUUAACCCAAUAAAUUUCAUUCACUCCGCAUACUCAAUCCUAUAGACACCCUUUUAAUCCUUCAAUCACAGACGUAACUCGAUUUUUCAAAACAGUCAAGAGUAUUCAAACCCACUUCAUUUAAAAAUCCCGAUUCACCAUUACAACACUGACUUUAGCAGCGAUUGCCUCAGUCUUCCCAAAACUCUACGAAGAAGAAAAAUCCAAAUUCUAUGUCUUUCCUUCCCCGACCCGAAGCAUGAAGCUCCUCUCUCUAAUUCCCUUGAUCUUCAAAAAACCUCCAAUGAAACCCGAACUGGUAACCUUGCAAAAGCUUGAAAACUCGCUCCCCCCCCCGAUUCCCCAAAAAAAAACCCCCCCUUUCAAAACUAUAUCCCCCCUAACCUUAUCCUCUGAAUUUCUUCAAUCUUCCAUCUUAGAUCCGAAAUUGGCUCCCACCUCAAGCUUGUAUCCGAAAUUGGCUCUCGUCGUCAAGUUUGGAUCCAAAAUUGGCUCUCGCCAUCAGAGCUUUCUCCUCCGUUUUUACCUUUAAGAAAUCCAUUUACCGAAAACAACGUUCCCUGAAACGGCACAGAGAACAGGACAGCCUGAAACAGAAUCGAACCUCGUAAUCGGGACCACAUUGAGUCGCCCGACCAAUUCAGGUCCUAUAUUGGAAAAGAUGCCCGUAAUAACUUGGAUGUUCCCGUAAUUGAGUCAAAUUGGUCCUCGCGUCAGAUUGCCUAAGACCCGUAGUAAGACCUGGAUUUCUCGAAAUUAGACUGCAUUGCAUUGAGCGGCCAAUUCAGGUCUCAUAUUGGAUAAGAGGACCCGGAUUGGAUUAUCGAAAUUGGAUCCAAUUCGCUCCUCGAACCCGUCGUGUGAAUUGGUCCUUCUCUUCUUGCUGACUCCCGUUAUUGGAAUCGAAUGGAGCAUUUCAGUAUGCCCCGGCUGACUGUAACGGAGUGACUGAACCUGACCACUCAGUAUUUGUACUGGAGUUGGUCGAUGCUCCCAAUAUUCGAGGUAACUGAAUAUUAAUAAAAUUCCCCUUUCUUUUUAUUUUCACUGUAUACUCGUGUUACGACACGACAACAGUGAGGCUUACAAUUGGUACCGGGACCAUGAUGAGGGACAUUUUACUACGUGGUCCUAGUUGCAAGUAGCCUUCUUAAACCACUUUAGGCCGGAGGUUGGACAAAGUACAGCCUUGAGAGCACUGGGAGCGGUACGACAGCAAAGAGACGAGGAAAUGGCUAACUACAUCAGGAGGUUUGACUUGGUCUUCAUGUGUUAUGUAAGAGGAUUGUUGAAUGGCGAUACGUUAAAGCAAUUCUUCAUUGAAGGAUUUGCUAAUCGAUCUACAAUCAAGGGAGUAUUAGAGAGAAACCCAGCCACUUUAGAGGAAGUCAAAACAGCGACGCACGUUGUAGAUUUAAUCGAGAGAAGUUAUGAAAGGCAUUAGAGGAAGGAAGAUGAGUCUAUCCCAGGGUUUAUUCCAAUUAAUCCCGUAAGCCAAGCGGUAGGACCAAGCACGUCAGGUACACCUCCGAUAGUCGACAAUAGUGCCCAAUAUUACAAUGUCAUGCCCACGGCCACCAGAGCUCCGGUACCCUUAUUGGCAUUACCAGAGCCACAAUUGGAGAGGAGAGUGGAGGACUUGGAGAAGAAAAUACAGGCCGGACAAGAAGGUUUUCAAGACUCCAUGAUGAAGCAGAUCCAAGCCUUGACUGAGCAGAUGGCAUUCAUGGUAAUGAAUCAAAAUUCAAACACUCCACCUCCUCGGAUAGAGUCUGGUAACCAUAACUCGGGGGUUUGGUGUACUACUUGUGGCUAAAAUGGACAUUCAUCUCUUCAGUGCCGAGUAAGGCCUCAAGGUAAUCCAAAUCCUCAACCAUACCAGCCAACACAUGGCUAUGGAAGAGAUAGAGGACCUCAGCAGCGGCAAGGAGGUUAUCAAGGUGGUCCUCAAGGAUAUGGUAGAAGUGGCAAGCCUCGGAAGGAGUACCAUGAGCUUUGCAGGAGAUGGCAUGAGCCGGAUCAGUGCUGGGAUGAUGGCCAACCAUGGCCGUGUGGCAAUUGUGGUGGCAAUCACCCUACCCAUGAAUGUAGACAACCUGAUAAGGUAAUUCAACUACCACCACCAAUAACAAAUCCUUAUGAGAACGCGCGGAAUAACAUGAGAGAUCAGAGACGACCUCAUGAUGAUGAUCAGAGGGGCCUAAAACCUCCUAAUCUCUACUACAACUAUGAGGAUUUCAGACAAAACCAUCAACCUCUGGAAAGGUUACAAACCCGCCAUGGUUAUAUCCCAGUUGCCCAAAAUCAACAAGGUAGCUAUCGAAACUAUGCAAACCAGAAACAAGGUCCAUCUUCUAACCAAGAUGUUAGAAUAGCAGAAGAGGUCUUAUUGAAGGGUCCUGCACCAUCUCUAGCAAAGACCACAGUGGUGAUUGAAGAACAUGAAGCACCUUCUAAUUUAGUGACCCACGAAUUGAAGAAAGACGGAGGUGGUAGCCAUGAGAAUGCUACUUUGGUUGUGAUUACCCGAGGGCAAGCUCAUAGGCAAUCACCAAUCGAUGAAGAAGACUUAGAUAGUAGUGAGUCUGAAGAGUUGUUGGAUUUAGUAGCUCUUGAGGUGGCUGCAAAGGAGGCGGCAAGAAUUACAAGGGAGAUAGGCGCCGCGGUAGGUGAUGAAAGGUCAUCUGAAGGCUCUGAUCCAAGUAAAGGGUUAGAACUGGGUGAAUGGGAGGGUCCUGAUAUUCCAGAGGAGGAGUUUGGAGGGUUGGGUCGUACGAUGCCAACCUCUUACCAGAAGUAUGAUCUCUGGAGGGACUUGCGGAGGAUAAAGGCUGACAUCUCAAUUGCUCAACUAUUGGAGAUAUCUCCUUUGAUGAGGAAGAGUUUCAAAGAAGGAUUACCUAGGGCGAAGAGGAAGAAGAAGACUCAGAAGAGGACAGUGGCUAGGGUACAAGCAUCUAUUAGGCCAGUGGAUGUGAAGGCAGUGGAGAUCGAGGUCACUAUCAUGGACAAGGUGGUUCCGAAUGUACUCAUUGAUGGAGGUAGUGGGCUUAACAUCAUGCUACUUCAUACCAUGGAGAAGUUGGGGUUGAAUUUAACCGGACCUUCAUUAUUUGUAUUAAACAUGGCAGAUCAAAGUCCUGCUAGGCCUUUAGGCUAGAUCACGAACUGUAAAAUCUCUACAGGAGGGGAGGAUUACUUAGUGACCUUCCAUGUGAUCAAGAUGCACACUUCCAAAGAAUCUUUUCUACUUCUCUUAGGUCGUCCAUGGUUGAGGAUGGCCAAUGCCACCAUCAUGUGUGGUGGUGAUAAGCCCUCCAUAGUUUACGGUCCAUAUGAAAAUCCCACUAAAUUUAGAAUCAAGCCUUUGAUAGGACUCGAGGUGGUUGACACCAUAUCUAUUGGAGAAGGCACACCAUUAAAAUCCGUGGAUGGGAUGACGUUUGAAGUUGAGGUUCAAACCUUGAAGUGUCUUGGUCCAAAUCUCUACCAUUGGUCAGACAAUGGAGAGUAUGCCAAGUGGCUCUAGGACAACCCUGAUUCUUCAUCAGAAUUGACGGCAGGAUUGAAUCUCAUUGGAAUGGAGUUGGACGAUGGUUUGACACCUUUAAUUGAGGUAGAUGUCCAUUUGAUUGGAAUAGAGGAUGUUGAAGGAGUAGAGGUUUUAGAGGAAAGUGAGCAUUUGGGACGAUCAUUGAAAUUUAAGACUGGUUCUUCGGGAAUUAUGGUUGGAGAAGACGUUUUCAGUUAUCCCAAUGUGCCUUCGGAUUGGUAUCGAGAUAACAAUGAGCAAUCUCACGUUGCUAAGGAAGACUAGAAGUUUGUGACAGUGGAGUUUGAAGGAGAAGAACCAAGACAAAUGAAGAUGGGAAGCCAACUAGAGGAUGAAGAGAUCAAGGCCUACUGUGAAUUGGUAAGACAGUAUCGGGAGGUCUUUGCAUGGUCUUACAAAGAGUUAAAGGGGAUUCCUCCUGAGAUUGUAGAACAUCGAAUUCCCUUGAUGACCGGUGCAGUGCCGAUCAGGCAAAAGGAGAGGAGAAUGAAUCCUCAGCUUCAAUUGAUUGUGAAAGAGGAACUGGAGAAAUUACUCCAAGCAGGUUUUAUUAAACCUGUUGAGAUUACAGAUUGGGUCUCUCCCAUGGUGCUUGUAAAGAAGAAGAAUGGUAAACUUAGGGUGUGUGUGGAUUAUAGAAAGUUGAAUUUUUGCUCCCAAAAAGACCACUUUCCCUUGCCAUUUAUCACUAGCAUCUUGGAAGAAGUGGCAGGUCACGAUUUAUACACAUUUAUGGAUGGAUAUUCUGGAUACAACCAAGUGUCUAUUGCACCUGAAGAUCGACACAAGACUGCAUUUACAACACCUUGGGGGAUGUUUGUGUGGCAUGUGAUGCCAUUUGGAUUAUGUAACGCCCCUGCUACUUUCCAACGUCUGGUGAUGUCUAUCUUCUCAGACUUGUUAUACAAAUCAAUGACCGUGUUCAUUGAUGAUUUCAGCACCCAAUCUGAUGCAGAUUCUCACAUUCAUUUAGUGAAAGAAAGCUUAGAGAGGUGCAAGAAAGCUCGAAUGGCCCUGAAUCCAGAAAAAACCUAUCUUGCCUUGACUAGAGGCAUUUUGUUGGGAUAUAUGAUUAGUAAGAGGGGUCGUGAGCCCGAGCCAGAAAAGGUGAAAGUAAUUCAAAAUUUAUCACCUCCUACUAGUGUGAAGGAAGUGCAACGUGUAUUGGGACACACCGGUUGGUAUAGGGAGUUGAUUGAAGAUUACGCCACUAUUACCCUUCCCAUCACUAGCCUUCAGAAGAAAGGCACCAAAUUUAUAUGGACUCAGGCUUGUAAUGAUGCUUUCGAGGUUCUAAAGAAGGAAUUGUCUUCUUAUCCAAUAUUGAGGCCCCCGAGGUGGGACUUGCCUUUCCACAUCUAUUGUGAUGCAAGUGCGGUGGCGGUUGGCAGCAUUCUGUGCCAACUUGUAGAAGGCCCAAGCAAGGGCAAGGAUCAUCCAAUUGCCUACGCUAGUAGGCAAUUAAAUCUUGCAGAGAAAAAUUAUUCCACCACUGAGAGGGAAUGUCUAGCCAUGGUGUUCUCAGCUAAGAAGUUUAGACAUUAUCUGUUGAGCAACAAAGUGGUUUUUUAUGUGGAUCACAUGGCCAUCAAGUAUUUGGUUAACAAACCUGAGUUGAGCGGUCGGCUAGCUAGGUGGGUCUUGUUGCUACAAGAGUUUGAUUACACUGUGGAGUACAAACCUGGAUCCGUACACAAACAAGCAGAUCACAUGUCGAGAUUGCUUGGAGGAAUGGAGACCCACCUGAUUGAUAAUAGAUUGAUAGACAAGAGUCUUUUCUUGGUGACAGCUAAACCAGCAUGGUAUUCUAGGAUUAUUGAGUUCUUGACUACUCAACAAUUGCCAGUGGAUUUAUCCAAGGACGAGAGGCGGAAGAUUCGGGUCAAUAGUCGUCAUUUUGUGGUAUUAGGGAACCGGUUGUAUCGACGUGGAUUGGAUGGAGUGUUAAGACGUUGUGUAAUGGAAGAUGAGGUUCCUUCUAUUUUGUCAGCUUGUCAUGACAGUGCGUGUGGCGGACAUUUUUCUGGCCAAUUGACUGGUCAGAAAAUUCUUAGGGCUGGUUAUUACUGACCAACACUCUUCAAGGACGCUCAUACCUAUGUGAGACGUUGUGAUGCAUGUCAGAGAUUUGCUGGGAAUGACAUUCACAUGCAGUUGCCGCUUCACAUUUUCCUACCAUUGGUGCCAUUCGAGAAGUGGGGCAUCGAUUACGUAGGAGAGAUUCAUCCUCAUUCAUCUCGAGGAAUGGCAUAUAUUGUAGUGGCCACUGAAUAUCUCACUAAGUGGGCUGAAGCCAAGGCUAUGAGGACAAAUGAUGCCAAGAAUGCUGCAAUCUUUCUCUUUGAGAAUGUGAUUACUAGAUUUGGAGUCCCGAAGAUUUUUGUGAGUGAUCGAGGUACUCAUUUCCUCAACGAGGUGAUUGAAUCCAUGACUGAGCGAUUCCAGAUUGAUCACCGGAAGACUGCACCCUAUCACCCUCAAACCAAUGGUCAGACAGAGCGAGUCAACCAAACACUUGGUACUAUAUUGAUGAAAACUAUUAGAGACUCUAAGCGUGAUUGGGAUGUGAAACUGCCAGCCCCCUUAUAGGCAUAUAGAACAUCAUUCAAGGUCACCACGCAGGCUACGCCAUUCUCUCUAGUCUAUGGACUGGAAGCAGUUUUACCAAUUGAGUUUGAGGUUCCAUCCCUUCGGAUUGCAGUAGAUUCCAGAUUGACUGACAGACAAUCUUUAAAGACAAGGUUGUACGAGCUCGAGGCGUUGGAUAAGAGCAGAAGACGAGGGGCUCAACACAUUGAGGCCAUCCAGAGGUGGCGCAAGGUCGUGUUUGAUAAACGGAACAAGACUCAAGUCUUGCAACCUGGUAUGCUAGUAUUGUUACAAGAUGCUCGGAAGAUCGACUUUCCAAGCAAGUUUGAUGCCAUAUGGUUGGAUCCUUAUCUUGUCAAGGAGGUGUUUUUAAGCAACUCCGUACAAUUGGAGACCUUGAAUGGUCAAUUGUUUCCCACACAAACAUCAGGUAGCAGGUGUAAAGAAUAUAAGACAUGAGGCAGCGCAAUUUUGGACAAGAGCUCCACCUUUCUAUCUUAUGACAAGGCGAUAGUAUGAACUGGCAUGGUAAAAAUACUUAAAAGGACAAAAAAUGGCAAGUACAAGCUGGAUUCGUCCCCUGAUGGUCGCCAAUUAUGUGAGCCCAAAAGUUGGUUCACAUUGUUGGUUAAACUAAAAAAAUCUAAAAAAAAUGAGGAUUUUGAUUAUGUUUUGUUAUAAUAAGUUAGUUAUAGAUAUUAAUGUUAGUGGCUUAUUGAUGAUUAGUAGUGGAAAGAAAAAUCAAGGGAGAAGGGAGUGGUGGGAAAGAUAAGAAAAAGAGCCAAAAAAAAAAAGAAAAAAAAAGAAAAAAAAACAAAAAAAAAAAAAAAGGCCAAGAAGAAAGAAGGAAGAAGAUGAAGAGGGACAAGGAGAAGAAGAAAAAAAAGGAGAAGAAAAUAAUUAGAAGUAAAUUUAUUGUGAUGGGUUUGUCAAAUUGUUGGUUCUUAAUGAUCUAGAACUUAGAUUUGGGUAUAUGAAUAGUCAAACUUGAUGUUUAAAUAUGUUUUAAACUCAUUGGUGGAGUUAGUUUUGUCGAAAAACGCUUCAAAUUGGGGAUUUUGGGCAUGUCUAGCACUAAAAUCGGGUUUAGGACUUAGGGUUAAUGUGGGCCCUUGAUCUUGAUUAGGGUUGGUGGAUUCGGAUGGUGGAGAUGUGGCCGCCACCCUUUGGUCUCUUCCUACUUGGAUAAGAGGGUGGGGGUGGCCACACUCGCUCUCUCUCUCUUUUUUUUUUUUGGGGGGCGAAGCCAUGCCAAAUUGCAUCCCCACGUACCCUUGUUUCUAUAGAGCUGCAAUUGCGCAGCUGUAGUGUAUUAGUUAUCUGGAAAUAGAACGUCAAACUUUACCAAUAGUUAGAUCUUGUCGUUAGCUUCCUCGGGACAGUAGGCACGCUUUGUUUGGAGAGAAAACAAGAAAGUUGUGGUUUUAGUGACAAGGAGGUCAGCUGCCGGCCAGAUCUGGAGGUCCGACUUUGGAAGGCAAGUGUUGGCGGACAGUAUUGAAUUUGGAGCUGAAACUUUUGUGGGGGAUGGUUCUUGUUGUCAGCUUUGCAAGGACUAUUUUCACGCUUAGAUUGAGUAAAGGCCAAGGAAGUUAUGGUGGUUGGAGUGAAGAGGAGUCGGCCGUGGUGAAGAUGUAGCACUCCGCCAACUCAAGCUACUUUGGAAGGUCAUAUCUUGGAAUUCACUCAAGAUUUUCAAGAAAAAAUUGUUGGAGGUGAUGCGGCUUCAAUUCUAGUUUCUGGAAUGCUAAAGCAUAUGCGUUGCACAACUGGAAUGGAGCAAGGGCAAGGGUUUUUGUGGCCAGGGGUGCUCUGACUAAGCCGAGAAAGUUAGGCAACUUUGAGGCAAGAUUUCUCUUAGCUUAAUUGUUGUUUUGCAUUGAAUUUUGUUGGAGGACAAGCGCUUGUAAGUCUACUUUCUAAAAUAGCAAAGCUUGUUAUAAACAAGUUAGUGAUGCAACCAUUGUAGUGGAAUUCGUGCAAGGGGGUCGCUACCAUGACUUGGAAGGUGGCGACUUCUAAUUUUCUUUAAUUUUUAGGAUGAAUCUUGGAUGAAUUAGGUCAAUUGCACGAAUUGUCAGUUGGAUGAUAAGUUGACUUAUGGUUGGAUGAAUGAAUCUUUAGAUGAAAAUUGGAUGAACAAACUUUGAAUGAAUGAAUGUUAUAGGAUGAAUGAGAUUUAAGGAAUGGAUGAUUGAUGAAGGGAAAUUUAGGAUGAAUGAGAUUUAAGGAAUGGAUGAUUGAUGAAGGGAAAUUUAGGAUGAAUGAACUUAGGGUUUAUGGAUGAACUUAGGGUUUCUAGAUGAACUUAGGGUUUCUAGAUGAACUUAGGGUUUCUAGAUGAACUUAGGGUUUCUGGAUGAACUUAGG